GAUAAAACCAGCCUGCGCUCACCAGCUAAUUAUCAGCACUGUGUACACUUGGGCUCCUGGUUCCGUUUCAGUCCUGAUGUUCAGGAAGUACGGCUCCUGUAAUUUUCAUCCGGAUAUCAGGAAGCGAUGUGUUGUAAGAACAUCUCAUCUACCACGAGGGAUGAACCCGCAGAAAUCACUUACACCAACAGAUUUACAGGUGUUGGCUUCUGUCAUAAGAUGGUAGUGGGGCAGCUCAACAUGUGUGUGCAAGUUAGCACCCCACGCCUUGUUAGCAGCUGAUGGAGCAGCCCCCCUCCCUGCUCACUGUGGGCGCCUGCAGACCUUGAGGA
Aquila chrysaetos chrysaetos is the source of this 332-nucleotide long non-coding RNA. RefSeq lists it as uncharacterized. NCBI's taxonomy places the organism in Eukaryota, Metazoa, Chordata, Aves, Accipitriformes, Accipitridae. The transcript is spliced from 4 exons. The record is from RefSeq and is a predicted model, not a curated record.